GACGAACGCUGGCGGCGUGCUUAACACAUGCAAGUCGAACGGAAAGGCCCUGCUUUUGUGGGGUGCUCGAGUGGCGAACGGGUGAGUAACACGUGAGUAACCUGCCCUUGACUUUGGGAUAACUUCAGGAAACUGGGGCUAAUACCGGAUAGGAGCUCCUGCUGCAUGGUGGGGGUUGGAAAGUUUCGGCGGUUGGGGAUGGACUCGCGGCUUAUCAGCGUGUUGGUAGGGUAGUGGCUUACCAAGGCGUUGACGCAUAGCCGGCCUGAGAGGAUGAGCAGCCACAAUGGGACGGAGACACGGCCCAGACUCGGAGGGGAGGGAGCAGGGGGGAAGAGUGGGCAAGGGGCGAAAGCCGGAUACAGCAAGGCCGCGGGAGUGAGGAAGGCCUUAGGGUGGGAAAGCUCGUUGACCCGGGAUGAUAAUGACAGUAGCGGGAGAAUAAGCUCCGGCUAACUCCGUG
This 463-nucleotide ribosomal RNA is filed under the name uncultured bacterium. Its description in RNAcentral is "partial 16S ribosomal RNA". It matches the Rfam family "Bacterial small subunit ribosomal RNA", at positions 28 to 507 of the family's 1533-position model. The record is from RNAcentral.